AAUGAACGCUGGCGGCAUGCCUAACACAUGCAAGUCGAACGGGAUCCUUCGGGGUCUAGUGGCGCACGGGUGCGUAACGCGUGGGAAUCUACCCUUGGGUUCGGAAUAACAGCGAGAAAUUACUGCUAAUACCGGAUAAUGUCGCAAGACCAAAGAUUUAUUGCCCAGGGAUGAGCCCGCGUAAGAUUAGCUAGUUGGUGGGGUAAAGGCCUACCAAGGCGACGAUCUUUAGCUGGUCUGAGAGGAUGAUCAGCCACACUGGGACUGAGACACGGCCCAGACUCCUACGGGAGGCAGCAGUGGGGAAUAUUGGACAAUGGGCGAAAGCCUGAUCCAGCAAUGCCGCGUGAGUGAUGAAGGCCUUAGGGUUGUAAAGCUCUUUUACCCGGGAAGAUAAUGACUGUACCGGGAGAAUAAGCCCCGGCUAACUCCGUGCCAGCAGCCGCGGUAAUACGGAGGGGGCUAGCGUUAUUCGGAAUUACUGGGCGUAAAGCGUACGUAGGCGGUGGUUCAAGUCAGAGGUGAAAGCCCGGAGCUCAACUCCGGAACUGCCUUUGAAACUAGAUCGCUAGAACAUCGGAGAGGUAAGUGGAAUUCCGAGUGUAGAGGUGAAAUUCGUAGAUAUUCGGAAGAACACCAGUGGCGAAGGCGGCUUACUGGA
This 661-nucleotide ribosomal RNA is filed under the name uncultured Alphaproteobacteria bacterium. Its description in RNAcentral is "bacterial SSU rRNA". It matches the Rfam family "Bacterial small subunit ribosomal RNA", at positions 28 to 733 of the family's 1533-position model. Lineage: Bacteria; Pseudomonadati; Pseudomonadota; Alphaproteobacteria. The record is from RNAcentral.